Molecule: ribosomal RNA, 301 nt
Filed under: uncultured bacterium
Lineage: Bacteria
Description: partial 16S ribosomal RNA
Rfam family: Bacterial small subunit ribosomal RNA
Source: RNAcentral
CAGCAGCCGCGGUAAUACGGAGGGAGCUAGCGUUGUUCGGAAUUACUGGGCGUAAAGCGCGCGUAGGCGGUUACUCAAGUCAGAGGUGAAAGCCCGGGGCUCAACCCCGGAACUGCCUUUGAAACUAGGUGACUAGAAUCUUGGAGAGGUCAGUGGAAUUCCGAGUGUAGAGGUGAAAUUCGUAGAUAUUCGGAAGAACACCAGUGGCGAAGGCGACUGACUGGACAAGUAUUGACGCUGAGGUGCGAAAGCGUGGGGAGCAAACAGGAUUAGAUACCCCGGUAGUCCCUGUCUCUUAUAA